GCGCUGGUAGCUCAACUGGUUAGAGCACCCGCCUGUCACGCGGGAGGUUGCGGGUUCGAGUCCCGUCUGGCGCGCCA
RNAcentral lists this transfer RNA (77 nucleotides) under Candidatus Campbelliibacteriota bacterium. Its description in RNAcentral is "Candidatus Campbellbacteria bacterium tRNA-Asp". It matches the Rfam family "tRNA". Rfam says of the family: Transfer RNA (tRNA) molecules are approximately 80 nucleotides in length. Their secondary structure includes four short double-helical elements and three loops (D, anti-codon, and T loops). Further hydrogen bonds mediate the characteristic L-shaped molecular structure. tRNAs have two regions of fundamental functional importance: the anti-codon, which is responsible for specific mRNA codon recognition, and the 3' end, to which the tRNAs corresponding amino acid is attached (by aminoacyl-tRNA synthetases). tRNAs cope with the degeneracy of the genetic code in two manners: having more than one tRNA (with a specific anti-codon) for a particular amino acid; and 'wobble' base-pairing, i.e. permitting non-standard base-pairing at the 3rd anti-codon position. RNAcentral also lists the same sequence under 2 other names. Lineage: Bacteria; Candidatus Campbelliibacteriota. The record is from RNAcentral.